AUUUCUUCAACAUAGAGUGAAUCUGCAUCUGGGUGCUUCUGAACUUUUUUGAUGAGGCCAACAGGUUCUAUUGACAAAGUUUUAUGUUGUGGUUUUAUUUGCCGAUAUGAAUGGGGUACUUGAAGAGUAUUAUAUUCUUCCCUUUUAUUUUUGGUGCUUUGCUCACAUACUUUGAUUCACAAAAAUCCAGAAUGUUGGAAAAGGUUGAUAUGGAAGAAUCAGCAAGUGAGAAAGAGGAGUCCG
Molecule: long non-coding RNA, 243 nt
Organism: Zingiber officinale
Lineage: Eukaryota; Viridiplantae; Streptophyta; Magnoliopsida; Zingiberales; Zingiberaceae
Exons: 3
Source: RefSeq, a predicted model, not a curated record